AAACAUUGUCUUAUGAAUAGAAUAUUAGAUAAUACCUGCCCAGUGACAUUGUUCAACGGCCGCGGUAUCCUAACCGUGCAAAGGUAGCAUAAUCACUUGCCUAUUAAUUGUAGGCUAGAAUGAACGGGUUAACGAAAUAAAAGCUGUCUCAAUUAAUUAACUAAAAAUUAUUUUCUACUCGAAGAAAAGUGGAUAAACUCGAAGGACAAGAAGACCCUAUAGAGCUUAAUUUAAACUAUAGAAUCACACUAUAGAAAUAUUCGGUUGGGGCGACCCAGGGCUAAUAAAUCACCCAUUUAAAUUAAGAUAGAUUAAUCCAGUAAAUGACCCUUAAAUGAUCAUAAGAACAAGCUACCUUAGGGAUAACAGGCUAAUCCCACUUAAGAGUCCUUAUCAACAGUGGGGAUUGGCACCUCGAUGUUGGCUUAGGGUAUCUCUAUAGCGCAAAAAGUUAUAUAAAGAUGGUUUGUUCAACCAAUAAUCCCCUACGUGAUCU
RNAcentral lists this ribosomal RNA (496 nucleotides) under Amynthas sp. FJ201002-02. RNAcentral describes it as "partial 16S ribosomal RNA". It matches the Rfam family "Bacterial large subunit ribosomal RNA", at positions 1811 to 2606 of the family's 2925-position model. The record is from RNAcentral. Lineage: Eukaryota; Metazoa; Annelida; Clitellata; Crassiclitellata; Megascolecidae.